This 497-nucleotide ribosomal RNA is filed under the name uncultured bacterium. Its description in RNAcentral is "partial 16S ribosomal RNA". It matches the Rfam family "Bacterial small subunit ribosomal RNA", at positions 28 to 507 of the family's 1533-position model. The record is from RNAcentral.
GAUGAACGCUGGCGGCGUGCCUAAUACAUGCAAGUCGAGCGAACAGAUGAGGAGCUUGCUCCUCUGACGUUAGCGGCGGACGGGUGAGUAACACGUGGAUAACCUACCUAUAAGACUGGGAUAACUUCGGGAAACCGGAGCUAAUACCGGAUAAUAUAUUGAACCGCAUGGUUCAAUAGUGAAAGACGGUUUUGCUGUCACUUAUAGAUGGAUCCGCACCGCAUUAGCUAGUUGGUAAGGUAACGGCUUACCAAGGCAACGAUGCGUAGCCGACCUGAGAGGGUGAUCGGCCACACUGGAACUGAGACACGGUCCAGACUCCUACGGGAGGCAGCAGUAGGGAAUCUUCCGCAAUGGACGAAAGCCUGACGGAGCACCGCCGCAUGAGUGAUGAAGGUCUUCGGAUCGUAAAACUCUGUUAUUAGGGAAGAACAAAUGUGUAAGUAACUAUGCACGUCUUGACGGUACCUAAUCAGAAAGCCACGGCUAACUACGUG